This 572-nucleotide small RNA is filed under the name Pan troglodytes (chimpanzee). RNAcentral's name for it is "processed transcript". Lineage: Eukaryota; Metazoa; Chordata; Mammalia; Primates; Hominidae. The record is from RNAcentral.
UAGUCACAGAAUAAGGCUGGGAGUGGCAAGGAAAAGAGGGUAGGGCACAGGUCGAUGCUCCUGGGUGUGGGCUUCCCUCCAGUGGACGGCUUGUCCCCACUAGUCCUGGGCAUCAUGGCAGUGGCCCUGGGUGCCCCAGGGCUCAUGCUGCUAGGGGGCGGCUUGGUUCUGCUGCUGCACCACAAGAAGUACUCAGAGUACCAGUCCAUAAAUUAAGGCCCGCUCUCUGGAGGGAAGGACAUUACUGAACCUGUCUUGCUGUGCCUCGAAACUCUGGAGGUUGGAGCAUCAAGUUCCAGCCGGCCCCUUCACUCCCCCAUCUUGCUUUUCUGUGGAACCUCAGAGGCCAGCGUCAACUUCCUGGAGACCCCCAGGUGGGGCUUCCUUCAUACUUUGUGGGGGGACUUUGGAGGCGGGCAGGGGACAGGGCUAUUGAUAAGGUCCCCUUGGUGUUGCCUUCUUGCAUCUCCACACAUUUCCCUUGGAUGGGACUUGCAGGCCUAAAUGAGAGGCAUUCUGACUGGUUGGCUGCCCUGGAAGGCAAGAAAAUAGAUUUAUUUUUUUUCACAGGG